UACGUAGGGUGCGAGCGUUGUCCGGAAUUAUUGGGCGUAAAGAGCUUGUAGGCGGUUUGUCGCGUCUGCUGUGAAAAUCCGGGGCUCAACCCCGGACUUGCAGUGGGUACGGGCAGACUAGAGUGUGGAAGGGGAGACUGGAAUUCCUGGUGUAGCGGUGGAAUGCGCAGAUAUCAGGAGGAACACCGAUGGCGAAGGCGGGUCUCUGGGCCGAUAUUGACGCUGAGGAGCGAAAGCGUGGGGAGCGAACAGG
Molecule: ribosomal RNA, 253 nt
Filed under: uncultured bacterium
Lineage: Bacteria
Description: partial 16S ribosomal RNA
Rfam family: Bacterial small subunit ribosomal RNA
Source: RNAcentral